UAUAAGGGAUUUUGAGUUUUUGCUUGUAAUGUUUGACCACUCGUCUUAUUCAAUUUUUUUUUAAAAUUAUUAUUUAUUUUAUUUGUGACUUACUUUAUUAUCUAUAGUACUUUAAGCACAACUUUUUGUUUUUUAUAUUUGCAAAAAAAAAUUGAAUAAGACGAAUGGUCAAACGUUGCAAGCAAAAACUCAAAAUCCCUUAUA
Molecule: microRNA precursor, 204 nt
Filed under: Oryza sativa Japonica Group (Japanese rice)
Lineage: Eukaryota; Viridiplantae; Streptophyta; Magnoliopsida; Poales; Poaceae
Description: MIR812 microRNA precursor family
Rfam family: MIR812 microRNA precursor family
Source: Rfam by way of RNAcentral